This is an RNA transcript of Spinacia oleracea (spinach), 3082 nucleotides long. RefSeq lists it as uncharacterized. Lineage: Eukaryota; Viridiplantae; Streptophyta; Magnoliopsida; Caryophyllales; Amaranthaceae. The transcript has 19 exons. The record is from RefSeq and is a predicted model, not a curated record.
UUUGUGAAUCCUGCUGAAUCGUUCUCAUCUCUCUUUCUCUUUUCAGAAAAACUCUCCCCCACUUCCACUCUCUCUCUGUCCUCCUGUCGCUGCCUUGCUCCGCCCUUUAUCGCCACCUCCGUCGCCUUCGCCGCCGUAUCUCCGCUGAGUUUCUCUCUCUUCUUUCAAUUAUCUGCUCUGUUGAUCUGCUUCCGGCCUUGCAAUGCAUCGAGUUGGUAGUGCAGGGAAUACAUCUGGUUCAAAUCGCCCUCGUAAGGAGAAGAGAUUGACAUAUGUUCUCAAUGCUUCUGAUGACACAAAGCAUUCUGCCGGUGUAAAUUGCUUGGCUGUAUUGAAGUCAAAUGACAUGUGUAAUAGUGAGUACUUGUUUACUGGUAGCCGUGAUGGAAUAUUGAAGAGAUGGGCUAUUGAAGAAGAAGCAGCUACCUGCUCUGCUACUUUUGAAUCUCAUGUGGAUUGGGUAAAUGAUGCUGUCCUUGUCGGUGAUCAUACGCUUGUGUCCUGUUCUUCUGACACUUCGCUUAAGACAUGGAAUUGCAUGUCCAAUGGUGUAUGCACGAAGACUUUACGUCAUCACUCGGAUUACGUUACCUGUCUAGCUGCAGCAGGAAAAAAUAGCAAUAUUGUUGCCUCUGGUGGCCUCGGCGGGGAGGUUUUUGUUUGGGAUAUAGAAGCUGCACUUGCUCCAGUUUCCAAGUCAAAUGACAGUACAGAGGAAGAGGCUUCAAAUGGAAUUAAUGGUGGUGGGAGUAACCUCCCAAUUACCAGUUUACGCACUAUCAAUUCCAGUAAUUCUUUGCAUUCUACUCCAAGUCAUGGCUAUGUUCCUACUCCUGCCAAAGGGCACAAGGAGUCAGUAUAUGCAUUAGCGAUGAAUGAUAGCGGGACCAUACUUGUUUCUGGUGGAACUGAAAAGGUGGUACGUGUUUGGGACCCAAGAUCUGGUUCAAAGACCACGAAGCUGAGGGGACACACAGAUAAUGUUAGGGCUUUACUUUUGGACUCUACGGGCAGGUAUUGUUUGUCCGGCUCUUCUGAUUCUAUGAUCAGACUAUGGGAUCUUGGUCAGCAGCGAUGUGUGCAUUCAUAUGCUGUUCAUACGGAUUCUGUCUGGGCUCUUGCUAGCACAACAUCAUUUAGCCAUGUCUACAGUGGCGGACGAGACCAGUCUUUAUAUUUGACGGACUUGUCCACUAGAGAAAGCAUUUUACUUUGCACAGAGGAUUACCCAAUUUUGCAGUUGGCGCUUGAUGAUGAAAGCAUAUGGGUCGCAAGUACCGAUUCUUCGGUUCAUAGGUGGCCAGCAGAAGGGCACAAUCCUCAGAAAAUGUUCCAACGAGGAGGUUCCUUCUUGGCUGGGAACUUGUCUUUUUCAAGAGCGAGGGCUUCCCUUGAAGGAUCUACACCUAUUCCAGUAUAUCGGGAACCAACACUCAAAGUACCCGGAAUUCCAGCUAUUGUGCAACAUGAGAUAUUGAAUAAUCGAAGGCGUGUGCUUACCAAGGAUACAGCUGGCUCUGUGAAACUGUGGGAGAUCACAAGGGGCACUGUGAUUGAAGAUUAUGGCGAGGUAUCAUUUGAGGAGAAAAAGAAGGAGCUAUUUGAAAUGGUGAGCAUUCCUGCAUGGUUUACUGUUGAUACGAGGCUUGGUAGCUUGUCUAUUCAUUUGGAUACACCACAAUGUUUUUCAGCAGAGAUGUACUCUGCUGAUCUAGAUAUUGCUGGGAAACCUGAGGAUGAUAAGGUUAAUCUUGCUCGAGAAACACUUAAGGGCCUGUUGGCUCAUUGGUUGGCAAAAAGAAAACAAAGAUUAGGAUCUCAAUCAUCAGCAAAUGGUGAAGUUCAAUCAGUGAAAGAUAUCUCUACCAGAAGCAUGACCCAUUCACGAAUUGAGGUUGAUGGUAGUUCAGAAAAUGAUUCAAUGAUAUAUCCUCCAUUUGAGUUUUCUGCUGUUUAUCCUCCAUCCAUUAUUACUGAGGGCUCUCAAGGGGGUGCAUGGAGGAAAAAGGUAACUGGCAUGGAUGGAACUGAAGAUGAAAAGGAUCUUCCCUGGUGGGUUAUGGAUUGCGUUUUGAACAAUCGUCUACCUCCAAGAGAGAAUACCAAGUGUAGCUUUUACUUACAUCCAUACGAAGGUUCUACUAUCCAAAUUUUGACCCAAGGGAAGUUGAGUGCUCCUCGAAUAUUGAGAAUACUCAAGGUUAUCAACUAUGUUGUUGAAAAGAUGGUCCUUGACAAGUCAAUGGAGGGAGGUGCAACUGGAGAUGGGACAUUUGCCACUGGGUUGGCUGGAGGACCCUUGCAGCAUUCAACAACUGUAGGAGAUGGGUCUCUCCGCUCGGGUUUGAGACCUUGGCAGCGGCCAAAGCCUGCUAUUGAAAUCUUGUGCAAUAAUCAGCUGAAUCUCCUUUUAUCGCGCGUGUAAAUUUCAGGUAUUAACUGCUGAAAUGAGUUUGGCGACUGUACGAACUUAUGUUUGGAAAAAACCAGAGGAUCUGGUACUUCAUUAUCGUGUAAUGCAGGGGAGGUGACUUCACUUAAAGCCACAAGGUUAAUUUACAAUUAAUUUAUUGUAAUGGAGCUAGCUGUUAGGUCAGAGUUGAUAUCGCAUGGAUUGCUUAAUAUUGUUGGGAUAAUAUCGAUUGCUUCAUCUUAUAUUGACAAAGGAAAUUACUGCUGAAUUUAGCAGCAUUCUCGAAAGUUUCUUGAGAAGUUCCUGAUCUGCAUUUUCCAUUGUCAGAAACGUUGCAGAAUCUGAAGCUCAUAUAUUUGAAAUACGAGCUUAUGUGAAUACUGCAACUCUUAACCGUGCAGAGUGCUUGCGAAAUUGAAGAAAUUAUGCGUCUUUUGUGGAGAGCCAAUGCGCUAGAGCUGUGAAUUUUUAGAUGAAUUGAAUCAGGAAUACGAUGUCAAAAGCCGUUGUAGAUUUGUAACUUAAGGGGUUUCAGUCAUAGGAGAUAGAUGUGAAGCACAGCCAUCUGUUUUACUGAAGGAAAUAUGGUCAUUGUCCUGGAAAUAAAAUCAGUAUCCAUUUGUCUGCACAGUUAAUUGGUAUAUAUUUAUUUUCUUAAGCUUUUGCUCA